AUGAAGAUGAAGAUGCCUUCUAACAAGUGUGCACACAUCCCUGUCUACACACUGGGUUUUGAGAGUCCUCAGAGGGCACCCACUGCCAAAACCGCGAGGGCGCCAAGGCAAGACGUCUUCCAAUCCCUGCAGGGGCCUCAGUGGCGAAGUGUGGAGGAGGAGUUCCCCCACAUCUACGCCCACGGCUGCACCCUGAAGGAUGUCUGCAGUGACUGCACCAGCUUCAUGGCCCACGUCAUGCGCUCCAGCUGCAAAAUUGUGGAUAUUCUCAAUGCCAUGCCGCGCCGCAGCUGCCAGACUCAGUACCUCUACGUCCCCAGCAACAGGACUCUUGACUUCCAGUGAUGGCCUAAGGUGGCCAGGCCUUCAGGAAGGGACCUGGCUCCAGCCUGCUCCAGGCUGAGGCUCUGCUCCCAGUGCUGGGCCCGGCUGCCCACCGUGCUCCUGAGUUGUGCAUGGACAUAUACAUACCAGAUGCCUUUAUAUAAUAAACCCCUCCAAGACCCUGGC
This 510-nucleotide long non-coding RNA is filed under the name Ictidomys tridecemlineatus (thirteen-lined ground squirrel). RNAcentral describes it as "lncRNA (ENSSTOG00000031962.1)". Lineage: Eukaryota; Metazoa; Chordata; Mammalia; Rodentia; Sciuridae. The record is from RNAcentral.